AAAAGUCGUAACAAGGUUUCCGUAGGUGAACCUGCGGAAGGAUCAUUAACAAAUUCCAAAACACGUGUUGAUCAUCUGAACUUGAGUGUGUCGAGACCGCGCAGUUCCGCUGUGUGUCUUGUGCCUCAAGGGAAGGUGAUCAAUUACAAACACAACACUUUGAUAGACAAUACAACGGAGAUUAUCUAAUUAAUCGUUAAACAACUUUUAACAAUGGAUCUCUUGGCUCUC
This 231-nucleotide unclassified non-coding RNA is filed under the name fungal sp. RNAcentral's name for it is "partial internal transcribed spacer region". The stretch from base 1 to 48 matches the Rfam family "Eukaryotic small subunit ribosomal RNA", at positions 1784 to 1831 of the family's 1831-position model. The record is from RNAcentral. Lineage: Eukaryota; Fungi.